Dipodomys ordii (Ord's kangaroo rat) is the source of this 104-nucleotide small nuclear RNA. The record is from Ensembl. Lineage: Eukaryota; Metazoa; Chordata; Mammalia; Rodentia; Heteromyidae.
AUGCUUGCUUAGGCAGCACAUAUACUAAACUUAGAAUAAAACAGAGAUUACCAUGACCACCGCAUAAUGAUGACAUGCAAAUUCAUGGAGCAUUCCAUAUUUUU